This 68-nucleotide transfer RNA is filed under the name Echmepteryx hageni. RNAcentral describes it as "tRNA-Ser". The record is from RNAcentral. Lineage: Eukaryota; Metazoa; Arthropoda; Insecta; Psocodea; Lepidopsocidae.
AGUUAAUUAAUCUAAAAAAGAUUAUUGUUUUGAAAACAAUAUAUAGAAAAUAAAAUUUCUAUUAACUU